CCCGCUCCGUGCCUGGGACGAUU
RNAcentral lists this non-coding RNA (23 nucleotides) under Cricetulus griseus (Chinese hamster). Lineage: Eukaryota; Metazoa; Chordata; Mammalia; Rodentia; Cricetidae. The record is from RNAcentral.